GACGAACGCUGGCGGCGUGCUUAACACAUGCAAGUCGAACGGAAAGGCCCCUUUGGGUUUACUCGAGUGGCGACCGGGUGCGUAACACGUGAGUAACCUUCCCUUUACUUCGUGAUAACUUCAGGAAACUGGGGCUACUACCGGUUAGGCAUCCUUGCUGCAUGGUGGGGGUUGGAAAGCUUCGGCGGUGUUGGAUGGGCUCGCGGCGUAUAAGCUUGUUGGUGGGUUAGUGGCUUACCAAGGCUUUGACGGGUAGCUGGCCUGAGGGUGCGACCGGCCACAUUGAGACUGAGAGAAGGCACAGACGGCGAAGGGAGGCAGAAGGGGGGAAGACUGAACAAGGGGCGGAGGCCGGAUGCAGAAAGGCCGCGUGCGGGAUGACGGCCUUGGGGGUGUAAACCGGCUGCAGCAGGGGAGAAGCUUGUGGUGACGGUACCUGCAGAAGAAGCACCGGCUAACUACGUG
This 465-nucleotide ribosomal RNA is filed under the name uncultured bacterium. Its description in RNAcentral is "partial 16S ribosomal RNA". It matches the Rfam family "Bacterial small subunit ribosomal RNA", at positions 28 to 507 of the family's 1533-position model. The record is from RNAcentral.